UGGGCAAUAUACAUAUGAUCUUCAACAUCUGUGAAUACAGUGGGUUCCAUGAAGAAACCUACACAGGACACAGGAAAGGCAUAAUUUGUACUUUAUUGACAUUGUCUAUUAGUUGGAGAGGACGGACUGACUACCAGACGAAGGAUGUCCCAAGCAUAUGUCCUUCAAUCAGACGAUGAUCAACAGUUGUUGUUAUAUGUUCAAAGUUAUUGUAUUUUGUAAGUUGUUGAAAAGACCGGUCUAUUAAGUUGUUUGUUUAUGUGUGUGUGUGUGUGUGUGUGUGUGUGUGUGUGUAUGUAUAUAUAUAUAUAUAUAUAUAUAUAUAUAUAUAUAUAAAAAUAUAAAAUCUGGUUGUUAAAGCUUUGCCAGGUCAGUGAGUCCCGAAACAAAGAUGCCAUAUGAUAAGCUCAUGUGUCUAAAAUUCCAGUUGUGCCGUCGGCAAGGGGGCAUGUCACAACCCAGUGAUUUUGGUGCCUCGGCACAGUGGAAUUUUCCCACCACAUGAGAGCCUCUUGCAAAGUAAAGGCUUUCUGUUGCUGCAGAAAACCCCCGGUGCAAGACAGUUCCCGCCAUUCGAAUGUAAAUUUGUGUCCUGCUAUUGGCUAGCUCUAAAUUAUUCCUACGUGGCAGCUAGUAAUUGGCUUGCUGGCUGUUUAAAAUUUUGCGCGACUUCCGCCCAAGUCGGAGAACUUUGAGCAUGCUGCAGAGUGCCUCUGAAGAGAUCUGACUUGUGGCUGAGCUGAUCGAUAGACUGAUCACCUAUCGAUUCUUCUCCCCGUCGCCAAGCGCAAUCCCAGACGUAUCCUUUUCCCUGCCGGCCUGAUUUGUAGACGGACGUGCUGGCUUGAGCCCUGCCAGCUGGAACAACUAACGUAGUUGUUCAGAUGACUGGACCGUUUUCGUUGCAACCGCAAGCGACGUAAAUAAAGUUUUACAACCAUAAA
Molecule: long non-coding RNA, 944 nt
Organism: Alligator mississippiensis (American alligator)
Lineage: Eukaryota; Metazoa; Chordata; Crocodylia; Alligatoridae
Exons: 2
Source: RefSeq, a predicted model, not a curated record